GACGGAUGGCUGGCAGGAGCAGGUUCAGGAGCUGGGCCAAGUUUCACACGAAGAGACUUGGAGUAUCUGGAGAAGGUUUUUGAAGACGUUUAGGAGGGAGGGUGAGUUUUCUGCUGAGAAACUCAAUCUGCCAUACAGUAGCGGCCCCAUCUGGGAUCUGUCACUGCUGACAGCACCAGAGGGCACAGCCGUGAUCUUCUGCACAGCCUGCACUCCCCGAAAUACCCUCCUUAAUCAAAGGAUGUCUGCGCGCCUGAGCUCAGCUGACCGCGCCGGGAGCACCAGGGCCGUUGGAUUCCACCCCAGCCCGCCCCCUCCCCACGCACACAGCCACGGCCCCUCGCGUCUUCGCGGCACGUUAAUUAAAUGCGGAAAACAGACAGAGGCUGAUGUCAUUGCUCUCACAAGAUCAUAAACGUAAAAGAGUCAUCC
RNAcentral lists this long non-coding RNA (432 nucleotides) under Homo sapiens (human). RNAcentral's name for it is "non-protein coding lnc-SAP30-22:2". Lineage: Eukaryota; Metazoa; Chordata; Mammalia; Primates; Hominidae. The record is from RNAcentral.